This 332-nucleotide RNase P RNA is filed under the name Candidatus Woesearchaeota archaeon. RNAcentral describes it as "RNase P RNA component". It matches the Rfam family "Archaeal RNase P". From Rfam's summary of the family: Ribonuclease P (RNase P) is a ubiquitous endoribonuclease, found in archaea, bacteria and eukarya as well as chloroplasts and mitochondria. Its best characterised activity is the generation of mature 5'-ends of tRNAs by cleaving the 5'-leader elements of precursor-tRNAs. Cellular RNase Ps are ribonucleoproteins. The record is from RNAcentral. Lineage: Archaea; Nanobdellati; Candidatus Woesearchaeota.
GUAGGGAAGUGCUUAACUAACGCACGAAAGUGUGAGGAAAGUCCGCUCACUAUUUUUACGUUGCAUUCAUGCAAUUGUGGAAAUGUAGCUACCUUUGAAAGAAGGAUUCAGAAAUGGAUGGCAACCAUACAGAAACGCACUUGCAGCACUGGGUAUGAUAAUGAUGACGAAUCAUCUGUAAAAGGAUGAGAGUAAAAAUUUGACCAUCUUUGCUGGACAAGAUGAAACGAAGGCCCUGGCUUGUGCAAGUCCAUUACGGACGCAUAGUCGAAUGUUAAGAAGGACUGUUCUCCCAGAGAAGUCCUACAAAAAGCGGCUUACAGCUUCCCUAC